GACGAACGCUGGCGGCGUGCUUAACACAUGCAAGUCGAACGGCAAGGCCCUGCUUUUGUGGGGUGCUCGAGUGGCGAACGGGUGAGUAACACGUGAGUAACCUGCCCUUGACUUUGGGAUAACUUCAGGAAACUGGGGCUAAUACCGGAUAGGAGCUCCUGCUGCAUGGUGGGGGUUGGAAAGUUUCGGCGGUUGGGGAUGGACUCGCGGCUUAUCAGCUAGUUGGUGGGGUAGUGGCUUACCAAGGCUUUGACGGGUAGCCGGCCUGAGAGGGUGGCCGGCGACAUUGGUACUGCGAUACGGCCCAGACUCCUACGGGAGGCAGCAGUGGGGAAUAUUGCACAAUGGGCGGAAGCCUGAUGCAGCAACGCCGCGUGCGGGAUGACGGCCUUCGGGUUGUAAACCGCUUUCGCCUGUGACGAAGCGUGAGUGACGGUAAUGGGUAAAGAAGCACCGGCUAACUACGUG
This 468-nucleotide ribosomal RNA is filed under the name uncultured bacterium. RNAcentral's name for it is "partial 16S ribosomal RNA". It matches the Rfam family "Bacterial small subunit ribosomal RNA", at positions 28 to 507 of the family's 1533-position model. The record is from RNAcentral.